RNAcentral lists this transfer RNA (76 nucleotides) under Lentisphaeria bacterium. Its description in RNAcentral is "tRNA-Ile". It matches the Rfam family "tRNA". From Rfam's summary of the family: Transfer RNA (tRNA) molecules are approximately 80 nucleotides in length. Their secondary structure includes four short double-helical elements and three loops (D, anti-codon, and T loops). Lineage: Bacteria; Pseudomonadati; Lentisphaerota; Lentisphaeria. The record is from RNAcentral.
CCUCCGGUAGUUCAGAGGUUAGAAUGGGAUUCUUAUAAAGUCCUGGUCGGUGGUUCAAUUCCACCCCGGAGGACCA